CGAGAGCCCCAAAAUUUGUGUUUUUCACCCCAAAAUGUGGGGUAGGAGGAAGAGAAUCGGCUGCGGGAGGAGCUGCGCCAGGAGUGGGAGGCAAAGCAGGAGAAGAUCAAAAACGAGGAGAUCGAGAUCACCUUCAGUUACUGGGACGGAUCCGGGCAUCGCAGAACUGUUAAGGUG
This is a non-coding RNA of Meleagris gallopavo (turkey), 177 nucleotides long. The record is from RefSeq and is a predicted model, not a curated record. Lineage: Eukaryota; Metazoa; Chordata; Aves; Galliformes; Phasianidae.